GACGAACGCUGGCGGCGUGCUUAACACAUGCAAGUCGAACGGAAAGGCCCUGCUUUGGUGGGGUGCUCGAGUGGCGAACGGGUGAGUAACACGUGAGUAACCUGCCCUUGACUUUGGGAUAACUUCAGGAAACUGGGGCUAAUACCGGAUAGGAGCUCCUGCUGCAUGGUGGGGGUUGGAAAGUUUCGGCGGUUGGGGAUGGACUCGCGGCUUAUCAGCUUGUUGGUGGGGUAGUGGCUUACCAAGGCUUUGACGGGUAGCCGGCCUGAGAGGGUGACCGGCCACAUCGGGACGGAGAUACGGCCCAGACUCCUACGGGAGGCAGCAGUGGGGAAUAUUGCACAAUGGGCGGAAGCCUAAUGCAGCAACGCCGCGUGCGGGAUGACGGCCUUCGGGUUGUAUACCGCUUUCGCCUGUGACGAAGCGUGAGUGACGGUAAUGGGUAAAGAAGCACCGGCUAACUACGUG
Molecule: ribosomal RNA, 468 nt
Filed under: uncultured bacterium
Lineage: Bacteria
Description: partial 16S ribosomal RNA
Rfam family: Bacterial small subunit ribosomal RNA
Source: RNAcentral